RNAcentral lists this unclassified non-coding RNA (297 nucleotides) under uncultured fungus. RNAcentral's name for it is "partial contains small subunit ribosomal RNA, internal transcribed spacer 1, and 5.8S ribosomal RNA". The stretch from base 1 to 73 matches the Rfam family "Eukaryotic small subunit ribosomal RNA", at positions 1759 to 1831 of the family's 1831-position model. Lineage: Eukaryota; Fungi. The record is from RNAcentral.
GCAAACUUGGUCAUUUAGAGGAAGUAAAAGUCGUAACAAGGUUUCCGUAGGUGAACCUGCGGAAGGAUCAUUACCGAGUUUUUGAGAAUCUUUUGAUUCUUCAACUCUCACCCUUUGUUUAUUUAGACAUUUUGCCUCGUCAAGUUUUUUAUGAAUUUUUUUCAUAAAAGGGGGAAACCCACUUGACGAAAGGCUUUUUUCAAAUUCUUGAAAGAAAAGAUUUUCUGAAAAACAUUUAAAUAAAUUAAAACUUUCAACAACGGAUCUCUUGGUUCUGGUGUCGAUGAAGAACGCAGC